This 478-nucleotide ribosomal RNA is filed under the name uncultured bacterium. RNAcentral's name for it is "bacterial SSU rRNA". It matches the Rfam family "Bacterial small subunit ribosomal RNA", at positions 26 to 507 of the family's 1533-position model. The record is from RNAcentral.
CCGUGGCUCGAGGACGAACGCUGGCGGCGUGCUUAACACAUGCAAGUCGAACGGUGACCCAGGGCUUGCCCUGGUGAUCAGUGGCGAACGGGUGAGUAACACGUGGGCAACCUGCCCCUGACUUCGGGAUAACUCCUCGAAAGAGGAGCUAAUACCGGAUACGACCACUUCGGACAUCCGAUGGUGGUGGAAAGUUUUUCGGUCAGGGAUGGGCCCGCGGCCUAUCAGCUAGUUGGUGGGGUAAUGGCCUACCAAGGCGACGACGGGUAGCCGGCCUGAGAGGGCGACCGGCCACACUGGGACUGAGACACGGCCCAGACUCCUACGGGAGGCAGCAGUGGGGAAUAUUGCGCAAUGGGCGAAAGCCUGACGCGGCGACGCCGCGUGAGGGAUGAAGGCCUUCGGGUUGUAAACCUCUUUCAGCAGGGACGAAGCGAAAGUGACGGUACCUGCAGAAGAAGCACCGGCUAACUACGUG